Molecule: non-coding RNA, 1527 nt
Organism: Peromyscus maniculatus bairdii (prairie deer mouse)
Lineage: Eukaryota; Metazoa; Chordata; Mammalia; Rodentia; Cricetidae
Source: RefSeq, a predicted model, not a curated record
ACAAAGAACAAUGGGCAGCUAAGAAAUUCUGAAAGCAUGAGAAAUGAUCAUCUUCAGGCAGAUUGAGAAAAGAGAUUGAGAACAAUAAAAAUGAGUAUCAUUCCAAUGCCUCAAUAGAAGCAUGCCUAUAAUGGACAUAACAAGAAUUCCUGACUACUUUAUGAAAAAUCUCUGAGCACACAGAGAACAAAGCUGACAUGAAGGAUGCCAUAGCAACCGGCCACUAGAAGCUGCACCAAAUGAAUUCCAGGGUGGAACCCAACAACAGCGAGCAAAUCUUCGACUAAAUUAUUAUGGGUAACAUGAGCACCAUUGCGUCAACCAAGCUUGAGAAGAACCCCCCAGUCAUCUAAUUCACCAUCAUAAGUAUGGAUGACUGCAGUCGUGGGAAAGGCACAAAUGUAGAUCCACAAGGAACUAGCUUUGGAGACAUAAUCUUCUCAGGUAUUGCUCUAGAAAGAGAAAUUUCCAGCCACAAACGCCUUGCAUCCAGGAAUAUGAUCAAAGAAACCAAGGCUUGAGCUCUAUCAUUAUUCUUUUUAAGGAUGUUUGUAGGGUGUAAACAUUUCAGGCUUAGCAGCUGAGUCUAGUUUCUUUAAUGCUAUCUUUGAUUCAGCAUUGCUUGACAGACUAUUAAGGAAAUGUUGAUGAUGCAGGAAGGCCAGUGUGCUGGUUAACAUGAUUAUUUUACAGAGCACUGUGUAUUCAUUAAUAGCAAAUAAAUUCUCACAGUAUUCUUCUUUGCUUCUUUCUCAAAAUCUGUUAUUUAGGUCUGUUCGGUCUCAAUACUGUUGGUGAUAAAAAUACAGAAUAUAACAUUUGUUUCAGAAAAUGUGACCUGUGACUUUUCUCUUUGGUAAGCAAAAUCAGAGGUUAAUUUUAAGAAAGUCUGAUACUACUGAGCUGUCUGUUAACCACAAGCUUCACAAUUUCAGAAAAAAAUGUAGCAUUUAUAUCUCAAAUCCAACCUACUGAACAGCUGAGGCUUUAAGGGCUCAGUAAGUAGGGAAUCUCCUGUGAAAAUAUCAAAAUGGUACAAUACUAAAGUAAGAAAUGUAUACAUGUUCUUAUAAAUACCUGAAUAAAUUAUAGGUAAAUAAUAAGAAAAUGCAUACAAUGCAGAAUGUGAUGAAUACAAGCCACAUAAAGUGAGAACUGAAUGUUAGUAAGCUAUUUAAAAUUUAUAUGAAAACAUUGAUGCAAAGCUGCAUAGAAAUUUUUUGAAGUUUUGUUUUGACUGAAAAUGGAAAAAAUGUAAUUUUUCAGUAAUAUAAUACUAGUUACAUUUUUUUGGCAGCUCAACAGUGUGUUAGAGUAUUGCAAUCACAAAUAACAUUGGAAAUAUCUUAUGAAAUGAAAAACUAAUAAACAAAAAAUAGGUUAUCAAAUACUGUUAUAGUGUAGACCUGUUUUGGUAAGUCACAAAUUCAUAUGCAGAAAAAUUUGUCCUUUUAGAAUUUGGAAAGUUAAAAUGCUUCUGUAGUUAAAUUCCUUCUGUACUACAAUGUCAAUAUAAUGUUUAUGCAA